AGUUGUAGGGGAAAGGGCCCUCGUGAGCAGCGGGGCUCGUCUCUUUUCACCCGGUUCGUGGCUUGGCCGGUGCCUCAGUGCGUGUGCGGCAGCUCGCCAGGCUGCACAAAGGAACAGCCGGCCGGGUUCGGCCCGUCCUGCGGCCGCAGGAGGGAUGGAUGAGCAACAGCGUGCGGGGCGGGGGCUGCGGUGGGCCCGGGCAGCAUCGUCCCGCUCCGUGCUCCGUCGGGCACUGAGGGUUGAAAUGCAGCUCCCGUUCGGAGUGCCUUUAAGUCCUUUUAUUGCGUUCCUGGAGAUGAACACUCUUCAAGAAUGAAAUUAUGUAUCCCUCACGGUAGAGUUAAUGUCUUGCAGCAGCUCUGAUCUAUAACUCCUUCGGUCCGGUAGAUUUAUAUAACCUGCUCAUUAAUGGUUUAUGAAAUGAUAAGGGAGCUUUUCUGUGUGCUGCGGUGUUUUCUGUGUUGUUGUCAAUAUUUCGUAAUUCAGCUGUCCGGAGUAGGAGAAGCUUAUAGCUGUUAACAAUGUAUAUUUCUUCCAUUUAAGGGAUUUUGUUUUGCUCUCGUUUUGUAUUUUUGAUCAUUCUGCAUCUCGAGAUAGGCUCCUGAAUGAGGAGAGUGAAUAAAAUGGAAGGCACAGUCAUUCUCUUUGGCUACAGUAAUACUCUAGGUUUGUUUUCUGCAGGAUCAGCCCCUGUUUUCACUUCUGCAAGCACCCUGGAGCUUUGGGUCGGGGAGAACAAACAGAGGGGGUGUGCUGUUGCUAAAAGGAAGUGACAUGGAUCCGGUGCAUACAGCUAAUGUAACCAUGAUGUAGUACAUUUUUGGAAUGGUCCUGCCUAUCUGCCUCCCUCACCCUCCAAAGAUCCCACCUGAGAUGAAGAUUAUGCAUUCAGGAGGUCUUCCCUAGAGUUUCUUCUAGAUGGAUCAGUGAUUUCUGUGGCACAAGUAGUGAUGGCUCUGCCUUUUUCCGCAGAGAAGCUUCUGUAGGUGCAGUUAUGUGAGCUGUAAACUGCUGAUAGUCUUGUUACAGAGAUGGGAGCACAUCUCAGCUCCAUGAGUGAUGGGACAUCUCCAGGUACUGUCACAUUGUUUCAUUGUCUGCUUCUAGCAGAUGGCAAGAUUUUGUUUAAACCAACUGUGUCCUACUCACUGCCUUGACUCUGGCUCCUCGCAUAGUGCACCAGGUCUAGCAGCCCGAAUAAGUUCUGUCCCCGUCCAUAAUGACCCUGGAAGUUGGGGUUUCUGCAAGUAAAGGCUGUGCAGCCAUCUGAGCACAAGUAAGGAGGGGUAACUAAAUGCACGUCUUUGUUUUUCAUGGCGUCAGAUCAAGUGAGAAAUGGAACUGACUGGUGUGGGCAGAGAGUAGGCAUAUGCUAAAAUGAUUAAUGUGGUGAUCGAGAAGACACAGUUUAUCUUGCUAAUGUUACCUUAGGGAAAAGAAGAGUAGUCCCAAAAUCUUCCUUCCUUCAGAUUUUCUACAAAGAAUGGGAAAAAUUUCUCUUACAGAGGACUGUUUUUUUGUUCCCCUUCACACGUUGUCUCUGGCUCCAGUUACAUUUAGAAAUAAACAAACAUGCUUG
Molecule: long non-coding RNA, 1579 nt
Organism: Junco hyemalis (dark-eyed junco)
Lineage: Eukaryota; Metazoa; Chordata; Aves; Passeriformes; Passerellidae
Source: Ensembl